GGGGGAGGGUGUGUGUGUGUGUGUGUGUGUGUGUCCCUCAGCCCAGCCUGCACCCUCUCCA
Molecule: microRNA precursor, 61 nt
Filed under: Myotis lucifugus (little brown bat)
Lineage: Eukaryota; Metazoa; Chordata; Mammalia; Chiroptera; Vespertilionidae
Description: miRNA (ENSMLUG00000024039.1)
Source: RNAcentral